This 926-nucleotide long non-coding RNA is filed under the name Ananas comosus (pineapple). RNAcentral describes it as "long non-coding RNA (ACOM_LNC034340)". Lineage: Eukaryota; Viridiplantae; Streptophyta; Magnoliopsida; Poales; Bromeliaceae. The record is from RNAcentral.
UAUAGUUCAAAGGAUACACAAAAAUACUCUAAGGGCGCGUUUGGUUCGCGUUAUGUAAUAUUACAUGUUAUUUCGACAUAUGCAGGUAUCUUGGAUUUCUGAACGAGAUUACUAUUGAUGCUGCAUUAACGCGUUUGGUUUAAUGCAAUAAUAUAAUCCUGAAUUACAGUGUAUAUAGUAUUACUAUAUUUGGUUCAAUUUAUAAAAUUCAGUAAUCCUAACAACAAAAUGUAAUCUAUUCCAAAAUUACCCUUAGUCGUAUUUAGUAAAAAAAAAUUUACUAUUUACAAAUUAAUUUUUGUAUUAAAUUUUAUUUUAAAUAAUUUAAAAUAUGAAUUUGAAUUAUAUAUUUUUUAAUUUUUAAUUUUAAAUUUUAAAUCUGAACAAAAACAUAAAAUUUAAUAUUUUAAUUGAAAAUAUAAAUAUGAAAUUUAUAAAUUUUUCUAUAUUAGAACUAUUUAGAACUGAUAGAACUAAGGGCAAUUUUGGAAUAGAUUAUACACUAUUAGAACUAUUUAGAAAUCAAAUUUCAUAAUUUUUCGACAUCAUUACCAAGUAAUCAAAAUGUCUCAAAAAUGACUAUUUAAAUGACCGAUGUGGCACGUUUGUAAGUUCAACGGUGUGGAAGAAUCCAAAUUAUAUGAAACGUUAACAAAAAAUUAUACUUAACAUCAAGAGGAAGAAUAAUACUUUCGAUUUGAGAUUUGAGCCUUUUAGCAAUAUAUUUUAUGAGAUUUUUAUUUUCAACCGCUCAUUUUUAGACUACUUAUUUACUAGGCAAAUGAAGUCAAAAAAUAAUAAAAUUUGGUUUCCAAAUAGUUUUAAUAACGUAGAUUAUGUCUAAUAGAGCCGAUCAUCGAAUCAAAUAUUCUAUCAUCGAAAACAACUUACAAGUAUGGAGGCUUCCGUGCUUUCGAAAAAGCAAG